UAUAUAUAUAUAUAUAUAUAUCUGCCACUUAAUUGGAUAACGUUAGUGGGACCUUCAAAAUCUGUCAUUCAGAGGCUGUCACAUAACAUAAUUGUGAUUACUUAAAUCCACUUAAAACCCUCGAUUCCAACUUGGAGAUCCCAGGUUAACACCACAUGGGGAUUGAAGUGGGGAGUUUACUUGAUGACAGAACAGAGGGCUAUCCACCAUCUUGCAUCCCAAUGCUGCUUGCCUUCCAAAAGAAGUAAGUGGGAGAAAGGGAGGAAGGAAAUGAAAAAGAAUGUCAUUUUGUCUAAAAGUAUCCCAUCCUCAAAAAUGUUGAUUAUUGCUGAUAGUUACCU
Molecule: unclassified non-coding RNA, 341 nt
Filed under: Hevea brasiliensis (rubber tree)
Lineage: Eukaryota; Viridiplantae; Streptophyta; Magnoliopsida; Malpighiales; Euphorbiaceae
Source: RNAcentral